RNAcentral lists this ribosomal RNA (240 nucleotides) under Triticum aestivum (bread wheat). Its description in RNAcentral is "partial small subunit ribosomal RNA". The record is from RNAcentral. Lineage: Eukaryota; Viridiplantae; Streptophyta; Magnoliopsida; Poales; Poaceae.
AUGGCCAACGAUGGCGCCGUGUCGGCCAUCCCCCGGCUCCCUUGGGCUAUAAGACCGACCCCCGCGACCCCGGGACAAACCCUAGCCCCUUUCCCCCUACUCCCCGCGCCGUUGCUCUCUCCCCCACACACACCCAAUGCCACCAUCGUCGCGUCGAUCCCGCGGCCACCGGCCUCCCUUGGUCGCGCCAAGAUGUCCAGAAGCAUCCUCCUCGUCGUCUCCUUCGUCCUCGAACAGUGA